This 286-nucleotide unclassified non-coding RNA is filed under the name uncultured Ascomycota. Its description in RNAcentral is "sequence contains ITS1". Lineage: Eukaryota; Fungi; Ascomycota. The record is from RNAcentral.
UGCGAGUACGCCGGCAGCGACCCAUCGACGAGGCUUCAAGUUCAGAGCCAUGCAGCAGGAUUCGCCCGAUGUGCCCGGCUUCCCGCUAGAACGAGCGCCGGUGUCCCCUUCCGGUCACGAGGACGAGUCUGCGACUCAGCUAGGGAUCGUGCAGGUGACGCCGGUUCCCUUGAGGCCGCAGUAGCCGUUCGGGACCUUGUGCAGGUACUGCUGGUGGUACUCCUCGGCGUAGUAAUAGGGACCGGCCGCGGCGAGCUCCGUGGUGACAGGCGGGAAGCCACGCUCC